This is a non-coding RNA of Schistosoma rodhaini, 45 nucleotides long. NCBI's taxonomy places the organism in Eukaryota, Metazoa, Platyhelminthes, Trematoda, Strigeidida, Schistosomatidae. The record is from Rfam.
AUCUAGCUGACGAGUCCCAAAUUGAAUGGAACACGCGUCCUGGAU